ACUUCAUGGAGAGUUUGAUCCUGGCUCAGGACGAACGCUGGCGGCGUGCCUAAUACAUGCAAGUCGAGCGGACCGACGGGAGCUUGCUCCCUUAGGUCAGCGGCGGACGGGUGAGUAACACGUGGGUAACCUGCCUGUAAGACUGGGAUAACUCCGGGAAACCGGGGCUAAUACCGGAUGCUUGAUUGAGCCGCAUGGUUCAAUUAUAAAAGGUGGCUUUCAGCUACCACUUACAGAUGGACCCGCGGCGCAUUAGCUAGUUGGUGAGGUAACGGCUCACCAAGGCGACGAUGCGUAGCCGACCUGAGAGGGUGAUC
This 317-nucleotide ribosomal RNA is filed under the name Bacillus licheniformis. RNAcentral's name for it is "bacterial SSU rRNA". It matches the Rfam family "Bacterial small subunit ribosomal RNA", at positions 1 to 305 of the family's 1533-position model. The record is from RNAcentral. Lineage: Bacteria; Bacillati; Bacillota; Bacilli; Caryophanales; Bacillaceae.